This 488-nucleotide ribosomal RNA is filed under the name uncultured bacterium. RNAcentral describes it as "partial 16S ribosomal RNA". It matches the Rfam family "Bacterial small subunit ribosomal RNA", at positions 28 to 507 of the family's 1533-position model. The record is from RNAcentral.
GACGAACGCUGGCGGCGUGCUUAACACAUGCAAGUCGAACGGAAAGGCCCUGCUUUUGUGGGGUGCUCGAGUGGCGAACGGGUGAGUAACACGUGAGUAACCUGCCCUUGACUUUGGGAUAACUUCAGGAAACUGGGGCUAAUACCGGAUAGGAGCUCCUGCUGCAUGGUGGGGGUUGGAAAGUUUCGGCGGUUGGGGAUGGACUCGCGGCUUAUCAGCUUGUUGGUGGGGUAGUGGCUUACCAAGGCUUUGACGGGUAGCCGGCCUGAGAGGGUGAUCGGGCACACUGGAACGGAGACACGGUCCAGACUCCUACGGGAGGCAGCAGUGGGGAAUAUUGGGCAAUGGGCGAAAGCCUGAUCCAGCCAUGCCGCGUGUGUGAAGAAGGUCUUCGGAUUGUGAAGCACUUUAAGUUGGGAGGAAGGGCAGUAAGUUAAUACCUUGCUGUUUUGACGUUACCAACAGAAUAAGCACCGGCUAACUUCGUG